Long non-coding RNA from Arachis duranensis, 829 nucleotides. RefSeq lists it as uncharacterized. The record is from RefSeq and is a predicted model, not a curated record. The transcript is spliced from 4 exons. Lineage: Eukaryota; Viridiplantae; Streptophyta; Magnoliopsida; Fabales; Fabaceae.
CUUGUAUAUUUAAGUGUCGAUGUGAUAUUUUAAAUAUUCGCAUAACUCUUAAUGGAUUUGUCACCCGUUUCAUGGCUAAAUUCAUCCUUUUUAGAUUAUAAUCCUUGUUGCAACGAUGCUUACCUACAAUUCUGGUCGCCUAAUAUGGUAUUUGCCUCCAAUGUUUGUGCAACUUGCUUGUGGCCGUGGACAUUUCCAUGAUGGAACAGCCAAAUGGAUUAGGGAUAAAUACAUGGCCAAGAUAGAUGAGGUGUUGAAGAUAUAUGUGCCUAUUUGGCAUGACCAUUGGUUUUUACUGGUCCUUGACAUGUUGGCAAAGUAGCUUCUGUACUUGGACUCCGCACGUUUGGCUAAGCAAAGAGAAUCACAUGUCCUGCAGAUUAAGAAAGUGGUAAAUUACUUGUUGUACUAGUGAAAGUAUAGAGCUUACUGGUAAGACUUUCAGUCUUGUUCUAAACUUGUAUUAUUUACAGGCCUUGUUCUUGGAAGAGAUAGCCUUAGAUGAGUCUUGGUAUGCUUGUAAAAGGCAUGAAAGGCCAACUAUCUCUGAAUUUAAGCUAGUGGAACCCGAGGUCAAUCAGCAAGAAGUUGGAAUAAAUGAUUGUGGAGUGUGGGUUUGUCAAUGGAUGAUUUUAUCUCGAUUGUCGGGGUCUCACAAUGUAGAGAAGGUUACUGAGUACACUAGAAUGAAGUUGGCAAUUGACUUGGUGCUAAAACCACAUAAUGAAAUCCGUCAAGACAUUAUCAAUAAGGCAAUGGAAAAUUGGAGGAGACUCUCCCAAGUUUAGGAUCUUUUGAUGUCGGAAGAACUCCUACCUUAGAGCCUUUA